UACGUAGGGUGCGAGCGUUAAUCGGAAUUACUGGGCGUAAAGUGUGCGCAGGCGGUCUCGCCAGUCAAGUGUGAAAGCCCCGGGCUUAACCUGGGAACUGCGCUUGAAACUACGAGACUUGAGUGUGGCAGAGGAAGGUGGAAUUCCACGUGUAGCGGUGAAAUGCGUAGAGAUGUGGAGGAACACCGAUGGCGAAGGCAGCCUUCUGGGCCAACACUGACGCUCAUGCACGAAAGCGUGGGGAGCAAACAGGAUUAGAUACCCUGGUAGUCCACGCCCUAAACGAUGAUGACUAGUUGUUGGAGGAGUUAAAUCCUUUAGUAACGCAGCUAACGCGUGAAGUCAUCCGCCUGGGGAGUACGGUCGCAAGAUUAAA
Molecule: ribosomal RNA, 376 nt
Filed under: uncultured bacterium
Lineage: Bacteria
Description: bacterial SSU rRNA
Rfam family: Bacterial small subunit ribosomal RNA
Source: RNAcentral